Cyprinus carpio (common carp) is the source of this 663-nucleotide long non-coding RNA. RefSeq lists it as uncharacterized. Lineage: Eukaryota; Metazoa; Chordata; Actinopteri; Cypriniformes; Cyprinidae. The transcript has 3 exons. The record is from RefSeq and is a predicted model, not a curated record.
CCCACUGACCCAAACUGCCUUUUUAUCAACAGGCAGUGAAUUUUUGAUUAAAAACCUGCCAAUGAAAGUGACAUGAAAACAGAUGAAAACUGACACUGACCUUGCUGUGAACCCUUUAGCUUUGUUAUAGUGUGAAUCCUCCAAUGAUCCCUAGACUGGCGUCCCUGACUCUGCAACACAACAGCCUACUGAAAGCCAAUGCGGAGAAGCAGCAGCGUUUCUGUGUAACAUCUUCAAAAGGAUGAGAGGAGUAAAGUGGAAAGCGAAAACCCACCUACAGAGUUCAGUGUGUGUGCGACAGGUGCACAGGUGUGUGAGGGCAAAACUCACAAUUUACAGUCUUUGUACUGAAGUACUAUUGGUGUACAUCGGGGGUCGCCAACUGGCGGACUCCAGUCCAAAUCUGGGCCGCGAGAUGCGUCUAUCCGGACGGCGUAGCCUUUUGACAUAAUAAAAUAAAUAAAUGCCAGAUGAUAAUUUCUAACAAAAUCAAAUUUAUAUCAAGCACAUCAAGGUCAGCUCAGUAGAUAAGUUUUAGCUAGUUUUAGCAAGACUGCAAACUUUAGUCAAAAAAGCGUAACGGCUAAUGCUAACGCUUCCGCUUUGGGGUACGCAGGGAAGGAGACCAGAGGCCAUUAUGUUUGAAUGGAUGUCAAUGGAGGA